Molecule: ribosomal RNA, 262 nt
Filed under: uncultured bacterium
Lineage: Bacteria
Description: partial 16S ribosomal RNA
Rfam family: Bacterial small subunit ribosomal RNA
Source: RNAcentral
GUCCACGCCGUAAACGAUGAUUACUAGGUGUCGGGGGACCAAGGUCCUUCGGUGCCGCCGCAAACGCAAUAAGUAAUCCACCUGGGGAGUACGUUCGCAAGAAUGAAACUCAAAGGAAUUGACGGGGCCCGCACAAGCAGCGGAGCAUGUGGUUUAAUUCGACGCAACGCGAAGAACCUUACCAGGUCUUGACAUCCAGUUAAAGCUGUUGAAAGAUAGUGUCCCUUCGGGGGAACUGAGACAGGUGGUGCAUGGUUGUCGU